GAGGGUAUAGCUCAGUGGCAGAGCACAUGCUUAGCAUGCACAAGGUCCUGGGUUCAAUCCCCAGUACCUCCA
RNAcentral lists this transfer RNA (72 nucleotides) under Camelus bactrianus (Bactrian camel). It matches the Rfam family "tRNA". From Rfam's summary of the family: Transfer RNA (tRNA) molecules are approximately 80 nucleotides in length. Lineage: Eukaryota; Metazoa; Chordata; Mammalia; Artiodactyla; Camelidae. RNAcentral also lists the same sequence under 2 other names. The record is from Rfam by way of RNAcentral.